RNAcentral lists this ribosomal RNA (361 nucleotides) under uncultured bacterium. RNAcentral describes it as "partial 16S ribosomal RNA". It matches the Rfam family "Bacterial small subunit ribosomal RNA", at positions 338 to 697 of the family's 1533-position model. The record is from RNAcentral.
CCUACGGGAGGCAGCAGUGAGGAAUAUUGGUCAAUGGCCGGAAGGCUGAACCAGCCAUGCCGCGUGAAGGUCAGUGCCCUAUGGGCGGUAAACUUCUUUUGUGCGGGAGCAAUAAUGGUCACGUGUGGCCAGACGAGAGUAUCGUACGAAUAAGGAUCGGCUAACUCCGUGCCAGCAGCCGCGGUAAUACGGAGGAUUCAAGCGUUAUCCGGAUUUAUUGGGUUUAAAGGGUGCGUAGGCGGUUGGGUAAGUUAGAGGUGAAAUCCCGAGGCUCAACCUCGGAAGUGCAUCGGAUACUGUGCGGCUAGAGAGUAGAUGCGGUAGGUGGAAUGUAAGGUGUAGCGGUGAAAUGCGUAGAGAU